CAGAUCAAACAUUCCCUGAAGUGUGGUAGAAGGCAGGAAGAAUGACACUUGCUAAUUUGAAUUUCAGAAAGCGCCUAAACUUCAUUCUGAUCUCCAGGUUCUGGGACUUCCUCCAGCUGGUUCAUGUAUUGUAUUGACAUGUGAUAACCUGCAGUGGUCACAGGGAUCCAGACUUCAUCACCCAUAAAUUUGGAGUUGCCCAUCGUUAUAAAACUCCCUUAAUUUCUCUGGAAGCCAAACAGAAGGUCAGAGUUUUUCCCAUGUGGAGCAAUUUCUGCACUGAUGCUUCUGGAAUCCACAGCCCUUUCUGCACAGCAGUUAAUGAACUGAGAUCCAAGAGAAGCGUGAGUUUAUGUUCUAAAUGAUGGCUCUGAUUAGCAUGCAAGAACACUUAAAUGAAAAAUACUGAUGAAAGCAUACAUAUUUUCCACUGAAAGCUUCUUUAUUUUAUAUUCAUGCUUCAGAGAACAUAACUCUCACUAUGGAAUACUUGCAUAAUGUGAAUGCUGGAACGUGUGCAAAAUGUGAAUGCUGGAACAUUUCUGUCACAUCACGAGAAGCUGGCCUGAGUCUGUCCAUCCUCUGCACCUGGGAGUGAUCUCUUGGAGCACUCACUGGAUCUGUACACUGUGCAUUUCAUUUUCUAUAGUUUACUUUUGUAGUAUUUGUUAAUCCUGUAGUCUUCAAGAAAGCUUUGUCCUGCUGGGGUUUGGAUCCAGCCAGAGCUUAUUGAUACACAUAGGUUUUAUGGGGACUUGCACAGGUCUUAGUGAGAGAAUCACAAACUGCAGAACUGCACAAACUGCAGAAGGGUUUGGAAACAGCAUGAAGACAUUAGUAUUAUGAAAAAUGGGAUAUGAAAGUUUAUAAUCUACCUUCACUUUAAUAUCUUAAUAGAAAAAAAUCCUGCAUGUGUAAAAGUGGGGGGCUCACAAUGGCUAAUUUAGCCUUUUUUUUUGGUCUGAAACUGUCCUUGUGCUUGGUAGCAAGAGAGGCUCUGGCAGAGGGUAUUUCAAAGCAGGAGAUAUUGCAUAAGGAAGUUAACCCCUGAGGCCAAGGAUGGCCUUUAUAAAUACCCUUCACUAAAACAUUCAUAUUUUUACUCAGACAUGUGGUAUACAAACCUGAAUUUAUCUGCCUUAGGAGCUGAUUAAACACCUUGUAAAAGCCAGAAUUAUGUACCCAAUUAAAGUGUUUGUUUCUAAGAGAUGGUAUGUUAUAACCUCUUGGGAAAAUCCUAGAGUCUGCUAUGUAUUGCAUAAUUAAAGAAACACAAAAACUAUGAAAUGAAAAACCAGACUGAAAGAAUAUAAUAAUUUUUGAUUGCUGUUAUUUUUUAAAAUUAAAGCUG
Molecule: long non-coding RNA, 1351 nt
Organism: Poecile atricapillus (Black-capped chickadee)
Lineage: Eukaryota; Metazoa; Chordata; Aves; Passeriformes; Paridae
Exons: 3
Source: RefSeq, a predicted model, not a curated record